This 790-nucleotide long non-coding RNA is filed under the name Pan paniscus (pygmy chimpanzee). RNAcentral's name for it is "lncRNA (ENSPPAG00000044427.1)". The record is from RNAcentral. Lineage: Eukaryota; Metazoa; Chordata; Mammalia; Primates; Hominidae.
UAGAUCCCAUUUGUCAAUUUUGGCUUUCGUUGCCAUUGCUUUUGGUGUUUUAGUCAUGAAGUCUUUGCCCGUUCCUAUGCCCUGAAUGGUAUUGCUUAGGUUUUCUUUAGCUUUCUGUGUCGGAGUCCAGGUUUUUUAUGGCCUCAGAAUGGGGGAGUGUGUGCUGAUUGGUCCAUGGGCAGGCCUGAACAAAAGCACCAUUUGAUUGGCUAAAAGGCACUGAGAAAGUUCUCACUCUGGUCAUGAACUCCACCCAGAACUGGCCGCUCAGUUUUCAGGUUUUAAACUGCCGUUGACUUGAAGGUUGAGUUUCACUGGGGACCUACCCCUAUCUGCCUAGUAAUCUGUGUCUCCUGUAGCUAUCAUCAUCACUGAUUUUCUAUGUACAGAUUUCAAUUCCAAACAAAAAUAUAUGAGAAUGUUCAUUUCUCCAUACAACUGUUUUUAGAGGAGUCAUGUUCAGAGAGGCCUAUUCAUUUAUAUCUUCUCCAAAUUUUCUUGUCACUAAGUCACCAUGCAACCUGAGAUGCCCAUCAUGAAGUGGAUGCUCUUUGACCCAUCAAGCCAUAAAUUUAGGUGUGUAUAGCAACACUCCAUCAUUAAAUGGAAGCAGUAUAUAUGUAAUUCCUGAAGGCAUAAGUAAGUUACAUUUAAAAAUGGCCCAAAUGAUUGUGAUCCCCACUUGGGCUACACUGCCUUCUUUCGGCCAGUCUGCAUGUAUGCUUCCACUGGGAAGCAUUCCACUGAACUGGAAAUUCAGACUCUUGCCUGGCCAUUUUCUACUCUUCAU